GCAAUACUUUAGUACAAUAAUGAGCACGCGGGGCCUUUAGGAGGCUGCUGCUGUUGGAACUUCUGUCAACAACUCUGAGGUUGCUUGUUCCUGAACAACAGAGGAGCCACCCCUGUGCUGGAAGUACCCUGCCUCGGAAGAGGAGAUUGGUUACAGACAAGCACAGAAGGAAGACCACACGAAGACACAGAAUGGAGGCUCUCUCUAUGCUACACAGAGAAGUCUCAGAAGAAACCAAUCUUGCUGGCACCUUGAUCUCAGGCUUCCAGCCUCCAGAAUUGUGAGAAAAUAAAGUUCUGUUGUUUGUCACCCCAUCUGUGGUAGGUUGUUAUGGCAGCCUGAGGAAACUAAUACAGGUGUCCUAAUGGAAAGGCCCAUGCUCUCAUAGCUGCUUGGCAGCCUCCAGGGUGAGUAAGAUGUGGCUGGAACGCAAGCACGCAUUGUCUGCAAGUCCUCAGCUGCUGAGGGAAGGCUGGACCUUGUGCUUGGCUGCAGGGUGUGGCCUCUGACACGGAAGCACUUUUCCAGCCCUGGGUGACUCUUGGAGUGAGUAUUAUCACAGACCAUGUCUGCACAAUUUACAUCCACCAAUGAAUUAACUUCUAUUUACAAGACUUGAAGAAAUGCACCAAGGUCGGCUGAAUGAAAACUCAACGUCAGUAGCAUUUUGUAAUUGAUGAUGAUGAUGAUGAAUUAAUUUGUGUACAAUGACUAUCAAUACCUAUUAUCAAUAUCCAUUACUUUUUUGUUUGUUUAUUUGUUUUUUUGGGUUUUCUUGUUUUGUUUUGUUUUUUUUUUUUUGCAUGUCUGAACUCUCUAUCUUGGUUGUAGCCUCAUUGUGGACAAGGAGUACAAUAACAUACUCAAUUUUGCAUCCUUU
Molecule: long non-coding RNA, 880 nt
Filed under: Homo sapiens (human)
Lineage: Eukaryota; Metazoa; Chordata; Mammalia; Primates; Hominidae
Description: HSALNT0183312
Source: RNAcentral